RNAcentral lists this long non-coding RNA (815 nucleotides) under Olea europaea subsp. europaea. Lineage: Eukaryota; Viridiplantae; Streptophyta; Magnoliopsida; Lamiales; Oleaceae. The record is from RNAcentral.
UUUAUCUAUCUUAACAACGGACAAUAUCGGGACAAACGAAAAAUGAUUACCGUCUUCCAUUAAAUUCAUGAUGACGUGGACAAUGACCUCAAAUAACCAAACGAAUACAUGAAAAUACAUGUACUUCGUAACUUGUAAGUGGUAAAUGACAAGGAAUUCCAUGAAAAACUGAAAAUAACUUAGUCUCCCAAAUAGCACAUUCCACUUCUGACUUCCUUCAAAUCACUGUUAAAAACCUGGCCCCUGGCCGCUCACUGCCUGUUCUUGUAUCUAUUUAUACAUGAAAUAAAUCCUACUUCAUUAUUCAUCUGAAUUUCAUCAUUUUAUACUCGUCAGUUCCAUUUUCCAAUAAUGUCAACAGCCAAUAUUGGCAUUGCUGAAGUGUAUGUGUGGAAAAAGUUGAACAAGGAGACAGAAAUGCUGAAAAGCCUGGGAAUUAAAGAGGCUAAGAAGGAAGUUUAUGGGACUACUUCACCCUCUUUCGGUUCUGGCUUGGGUUCAUGUUCCGGUGGCUGCAGCUUCCUCGGGGGUUUCUAUAGAAUUCACCCUGCAGCAUACUAAAAAAAUAAGAUAGCUCAGAAUAUAUAUGCAUGGUAACUAUUUGAUUUUGGUUAAACCAGUUUCUUUUGAAACUGUACUCUAUUUGUAUAUUCUUAUCAAGUUUUCGGUGUAAUAUAUUUUCUUUGUGGAAAUAAAAUGCUUGAACAUCAUCCAAUCUUGUCUAAUAUUACUUGCAAUGACGUAAACUCGUGAUUCCACAUAUACGACAUCCUUGGCUAACUAAACUUCACAGAAAGCAACUUCUAAAUUUCAAG